This 24-nucleotide ribosomal RNA is filed under the name Somion unicolor. RNAcentral's name for it is "Spongipellis unicolor partial 28S ribosomal RNA". Lineage: Eukaryota; Fungi; Basidiomycota; Agaricomycetes; Polyporales; Cerrenaceae. RNAcentral also lists the same sequence under 2 other names. The record is from RNAcentral.
CUCAAAUCAGGUAGGACUACCCGC